GCGCAUGCUUUAAAUAUUAAAGAUUUAUCGCUUUGAGAUGGGCCCGCGGCGCAUUAGCUAGUUGGUAAGGUAAUGGCUUACCAAGGCGACGAUGCGUAGCCGACCUGAGAGGGUGAUCGGCCACAUUGGAACUGAGACACGGUCCAGACUCCUACGGGAGGCAGCAGUGGGGAAUAUUGCGCAAUGGGGAAACCCUGACGCAGCAACGCCGCGUGAGUGAUGAAGGUUUUCGGAUCGUAAAACUCUGUCUUCUGGGACGAUAAUGACGGUACCAGAGGAGGAAGCCACGGCUAACUACGUG
Molecule: ribosomal RNA, 301 nt
Filed under: uncultured bacterium
Lineage: Bacteria
Description: bacterial SSU rRNA
Rfam family: Bacterial small subunit ribosomal RNA
Source: RNAcentral